Long non-coding RNA from Cyprinus carpio carpio, 1714 nucleotides. NCBI's taxonomy places the organism in Eukaryota, Metazoa, Chordata, Actinopteri, Cypriniformes, Cyprinidae. The record is from Ensembl.
AACUGUAAAUAAAAAAUGUAUUAGUAAAUAAUGUAUUAAAAUAUUUUUAACUAAGCUUUAAUUAACAUAUAUGCGUGUGUGUUAAAUGAUAUAGUUAAAUAAUAUAGUCUUUAACAUUAGUACAAGCUAAGUAUUAACAACAUAUUUUUACUGCAUUUGUUUGUGUUAGUAAAAAAAUAAUAUGUUAAUUCAUGGUACAGUAACUGAUGUACAUUAACUAUAAAUUUUAAUUAAUAAUGUAGUAAUCCAUUUUGAACAUAAUAUUAACUAAGAUUCAUAAAUGCUAUAUAAAUGAUGUACAUGUUAACUUAUAUAAUGUUAAAAACUAAAUCCUUAUUGAAAAGUGUUAGAAUAAUUUUAGAAUAAUAUAUAUAUAUAUAUUGUUCUUUGUGUGUGUGUGUGUGUGUGUGUGUGAGAAAGACAGAUAGAGAGAGACUCACAUUAAUAAAUGCCAUACAAUUGUUGUUAAUGUAAUUUAAUAUAAUUAAUGUUAAUAACUGAAACCUUAUUGGAAGUGUUACUUAAGUUUUAUAUGUUGUGUUUUGUGUGUGUCUCUUGAUGGUUCGGAUUAACCCUUUCAUUGCUGUAUGCCCUUAAUUCCAAACUGCUAAAUUAAGUGUGCCCAAUCCUGUUCCUGGUGAUCGACUGUCCUGCAAAGUUCAGCUCCAACUCUAAUCAGUCACACCUACCUUUAAUUUUCAAGCAAUCCUGAAGACAUUCAUUAGUUGCUUCAGGUGUGUUUGAGUAGGGUUGGAGCUAAACUUAACAGGACAGUCGAUCGCCAUUAACAGAGUUGGGCACCCCUGAGCUAGAGGGUUAUUGUGUAUGUGCCCGCUGGGCACAGCUUUCCGGAUGCCACCGGGGUGGCGUUUGCGCUGACGGCUCGGGCCCGCCAUCGCUGCUUGCAGCUAUAUUUAGGGCUCAAGCCUGGAGGGCGAGAGCCCUAUUGUUUUCCUUAGGAUUAUUUUUUAUUAUUAUUAUUAUUAUUAUUUUUUUUUUUUUUUCCAACGUCUCGGGGGCUUUUGGGGCCCUUAACAUACUCGAAAACUCUUGAAAAUUGGCACACACAUUGGAACCUGCGGCCAUUAGGGCCGGGCAGAGACUGAUACACGGGCGUGGCACAGGGGCUCUACAGCGCCCCCUGGAAUAUGGAGGGCCAUAUAUCAUACAUACUUGCACGUAGACGUAUGAAACUCGGUACACAUAUAGAUCUCAUCAAGCCAAACAACUUUCGUACUGCAUGUCAUAGGCUCCGCCCAACAGUAAGUUGGCUAUUUAGGGUUUAGUAUUCUUAUUUUUCGUCAAAGUUGUGGGGGCUUUUGGGGCCCUUAACAUACUCAAAAACUCUUGAAAAUUUGCACACACCUUAGAAUCUGUGGCCAUUAGGAGGAUGCAGAGGCUGAGACCCGGGUGUGGCACAGGGGCUCUACGGCGCCCCCUGGAACACAUCAGAAAUGUUGAGUUAGUUCAAACAUACUUGCACGUAUUCAUAUGAAACUCAGUACACAUAUAGAUCGCAUUGUGCCGAACAACUUUCGUAUUGCAUGUCAUAGGCUCCGCCCAACAGGAAGUCAGCUAUUUAGAGCUAUGUAAAAAGCGCAUGCUCUGGAAUUUGAUAUACUUGUCAUAGGUUUUUUUACCCGAUUGCCACCAAACUUGGUCAACAUGAUCUCAAGACAUUGGGGAUGCAAAAUUGCCAGGGGAUUUUUUGAUA